Long non-coding RNA from Triticum aestivum (bread wheat), 999 nucleotides. RefSeq lists it as uncharacterized. NCBI's taxonomy places the organism in Eukaryota, Viridiplantae, Streptophyta, Magnoliopsida, Poales, Poaceae. The transcript is spliced from 6 exons. The record is from RefSeq and is a predicted model, not a curated record.
CAUUCUCUCCUCUCUGCCCGAUUCCCCUGGUCGCCUCCCCCCCACGCCCGCCGCCGCCAACCCGAAACCCUAGCUCCCUCCCUCCCUCGCGCGCUCAGAUCCGCCCACCCUCCCUCCCUCUUUGCGCUCAGAUCCGCCCUCCCUCCCUCAAUCUUCGCGCUGGAAACCCUAGCCGCCGGGCCAUGGUGAUAGACGGCGACGACGACGACGGUGGCUACCUUGACGACGGCGGUGCGGCCAGCAGCAGAAGCACCACCAUGCCCUCCCUUCCUCCAACCCUAGCGAUCGGGCCAUGUUGGCGGCGGCCAGAUCCGCAUCGGGACAGGACCUGCUUGUGCUCGUGAGGAGAGGCACGCCAUGGAGCAGCUCGUCAAGGACAGCCAACACAUUUUUUCUCUUGGCCGACCUGCUGCUUGCAUACAUGACAGAUAUGCAUCCAUGGUGAAGUUACUAUAUAAGUAUAGGGUCAAGCACUGCCCCGACAUACAUCCUAUUUUGAGUUUUUCCUCAAAGUCCCAUGGCCAUGUUGCUGGUAGAGUUGGAAGCACCACCCUUGAUUUUGAAAUUGGAGAAGGAAGAUGGAUAACAGAGUUCAGUACAGUAAGGAUGCUCUAUAAUAUAGGAAUCCAGACAAGGACGAUGAGCAAUACAUGACCCCACGGCCGAGCCGAUGACCAACCACCAGGGAAGUGGACAUGUGAAUAAGGGAUGGAGCAGCAACGUUGAUUGGUUGCACGGAGCUACAGUCAACCUGAUGUGGUGUUUUAAUCUCCUUGACAUAGAGAGUAGUUGUGUGUGGUUUCCUUUCGAGUAGCAUAGUUGGAGUUUAGCAUGUGUGUGUAGAGCUGAUGGUCGUGAGGCUAAUUCCGGGAGUAGUACAUGACUGGAAGAUGCCCAGCUAGAUGUGAUACUUUGUGAUGGUUUAAUCUACUUUGUGAUCUCAUAUGCAACACUUUGUGAUACCCUAUGAUAUAUAUAUAUAUAUAUGGACAUUUGCUA